GCCCUGAGCCUCUGUGCUGCAGGAGCAAUCUUCAAAGAUUACAGAGCUCUUUCCAGGGGGCUGUGCAUUCAAGCAGAGCGGAGACAACAUGUCCCACUCCUUUCUGCCUGUCUGCCCUUUGGCCAGAAUGAAAAGGGAAGAAGCAGGGAAAGGAAAAUAAAGGAAUGGACAACUUCGGCAGGGAAAUUUAUGAGGAGUCGUAUGAAUCAUGAAUCGCUCUACUGAAACCCUAGGCUUAAAUGCUAACAGCAGGGGUGUGAGAUUCAGGCCCAUCCACUGGAAGACAAAACACUGCCAACUCUGAAAACACUGGAAAGGUGGGGAAUUUG
RNAcentral lists this long non-coding RNA (329 nucleotides) under Fukomys damarensis (Damara mole-rat). Its description in RNAcentral is "lncRNA (ENSFDAG00000022614.1)". The record is from RNAcentral. Lineage: Eukaryota; Metazoa; Chordata; Mammalia; Rodentia; Bathyergidae.